CCAACGGCCCUCUUUAGGGCCACAAAUAAAAAAUAAUCCUUUUGCU
Caenorhabditis tropicalis is the source of this 46-nucleotide non-coding RNA. Lineage: Eukaryota; Metazoa; Nematoda; Chromadorea; Rhabditida; Rhabditidae. The record is from Rfam.